RNAcentral lists this transfer RNA (85 nucleotides) under Felis catus (domestic cat). It matches the Rfam family "tRNA". From Rfam's summary of the family: Transfer RNA (tRNA) molecules are approximately 80 nucleotides in length. Their secondary structure includes four short double-helical elements and three loops (D, anti-codon, and T loops). RNAcentral also lists the same sequence under 3 other names. The record is from Rfam by way of RNAcentral. Lineage: Eukaryota; Metazoa; Chordata; Mammalia; Carnivora; Felidae.
GCCUGGGUGGCUCAGUCAGUUAAGCGUCUGACUUCAGCUCAGGUCAUGAUCUCACGGUAUGUGGGUUUGAGCCCCACGUCAGGCU